GCGGUGCUGCCCGGUUCGUGUGGGCGCAUAUCCCCGGGGCCUUAUGAUCCUGAAGGGAGCCGACGCUGGUUGGAACCGUGGUUCCUCUCAUUUGGCGCCCACCUAGCUUACUAGGUUUCCCGGGAUCAGCUUAACCCCACGGCCAUGGCGGCCCGCA
This 157-nucleotide non-coding RNA is filed under the name Hyphomicrobiales bacterium. RNAcentral's name for it is "Rhizobiales bacterium 6S RNA". It matches the Rfam family "6S / SsrS RNA". From Rfam's summary of the family: E. coli 6S RNA was the first non coding RNA to be sequenced, but its function was unknown until recently. It consists of 184 nucleotides that fold into an extended hairpin structure with a large single-stranded internal bulge. The 6S RNA specifically associates with RNA polymerase holoenzyme containing the sigma70 specificity factor. Lineage: Bacteria; Pseudomonadati; Pseudomonadota; Alphaproteobacteria; Hyphomicrobiales. The record is from RNAcentral.